GACGAACGCUGGCGGCGUGCUUAACACAUGCAAGUCGAACGGAAAGGCCCUGCUUUUGUGGGGUGCUCGAGUGGCGAACGGGUGAGUAACACGUGAGUAACCUGCCCUUGACUUUGGGAUAACUUCAGGAAACUGGGGCUAAUACCGGAUAGGAGCUCCUGCUGCAUGGUGGGGGUUGGUAAGUUUCGGCGGUUGGGGAUGGAUUCGCGGCUUAUCCGCUUGUUGGUGGGGUAGUGGCUUACCAAGGCUUUGACGGGUAGCCGGCCUGAGAGGGUGACCGGCCACAUUGGGACUGAGAUACGGCCCAGACUCCUACGGGAGGCAGCAGUGGGGAAUAUUGCACAAUGGGCGGAAGCCUGAUGCAGCAACGCCGCGUGCGGGAUGACGGCCUUCGGGUGGUAAACCGCUUUCGCCUGUGACGAAGCGUGAGUGACGGUAAUGGGUAAAGAAGCACCGGCUAACUACGUG
This 468-nucleotide ribosomal RNA is filed under the name uncultured bacterium. RNAcentral describes it as "partial 16S ribosomal RNA". It matches the Rfam family "Bacterial small subunit ribosomal RNA", at positions 28 to 507 of the family's 1533-position model. The record is from RNAcentral.